CCUACGGGUGGCAGCAGUAGGGAAUUUUCGUCAAUGUGCGCAAGCCUGAACGAGCAAUGCCGCGUGAACGAGGAAGGUCUUCGGAUCGUAAAGUUCUGUUGAAGGGGAAAAACAUCGGCGAGAGGAAAUGAUUUCUGAUUGAUAUUACCCUUAGAGGAAGUCAUGGCUAACUAUCUGCCAGCAUCCGCGGUAAUACAUAGGGUACGAGCGUUAUCCGGAAUGAUUGGGCGUAAAUCGUGCGUAGGCUGCGUGCUAAGUCUGGAGUGAAAGGUGCGGCCUCAACCCGGACAGGCUUUGGAAAAUAGCAGGCUAGAGAGCAGGAGAGGGAGGUGGAAGUCCAUGUGUAGCGGUAAAAUGCGUAGAUAUAGGGAAGAACACCAGUGGCGAAGGCGGCCGACUGGCCUGUUACUGACGCUGAGGGACGAAAGCGUGGGGAGCAAAUAGGAUUAGAUACCCGAGUAGUC
Molecule: ribosomal RNA, 464 nt
Filed under: uncultured bacterium
Lineage: Bacteria
Description: partial 16S ribosomal RNA
Rfam family: Bacterial small subunit ribosomal RNA
Source: RNAcentral